This 114-nucleotide ribosomal RNA is filed under the name uncultured bacterium. RNAcentral's name for it is "partial 16S ribosomal RNA". It matches the Rfam family "Bacterial small subunit ribosomal RNA", at positions 1360 to 1482 of the family's 1533-position model. The record is from RNAcentral.
CGGUGAAUACGUUCCCGGGCCUUGUACACACCGCCCGUCAAGCCAUGGAAGUUGGGGGUACCUGAAGCACGUAACCGCAAGGAGCGUCCUAGGGUAAAACCGAUAACUGGGGCU